Molecule: long non-coding RNA, 1262 nt
Filed under: Homo sapiens (human)
Lineage: Eukaryota; Metazoa; Chordata; Mammalia; Primates; Hominidae
Description: IL21 antisense RNA 1
Source: RNAcentral
UGGACCAACUCAGGUUAGAAGGGUACCAGACCAGAAGAUCAGAUCGUAGAAGUUACUGGAGAAAAAGAUCAGCGGACAGCACUCUUGAACUACAUGCCAGGCCUCUUCUUCCUGGAACUCUAAUGGAUUUAAAUGGCUUAAGAGACGGGAUGAAUUGUUGAAAAUGGUUCUUUCAAAAGACCUCACGGAAGGCCAAAGACAAGACUCACUGAGGCCAAGCUGAUCAACAAUAUCUAUAAGUUGACGCAUUCUAAUCAUGUGGCGAUCUUGACCUUGGGAGCUUGAUUUGUGGACCAGUGUCCCCAAGAAGAUGACCAUCAGACAGAUGACAAUCCUCUCCAUGUUGCCAGGACUGGAUCUCAUAAGUACCAACAGUAGAGCUAGACCUUGGUCUCGUUUUCACUUCAGCUUGACUGAGAACAGGUAUACGUGUGCAUGUGCUAAUGUGUGGGGGCAGGGAUUGAUGGAGUCAACGAAAUGUGCCCCAUCUGCAUCUUUGACAGGAAAAAGAGAGAAUGGGUGAAUUCCAAUUUUCAGCAUGAAUCAAGAAUGUCACCGAUGAAGUUUUUGAAUGCUGUGCUCCUAAUCUCAUUUUCCUGUAAGCAUCCUCCAGAGACUUCGGUGAAGGAUGAUGCAAACUGUGUUUCUUCAGCAUGUGAGCACCAUCAGCCAUGAGUGUGGCAGCUCCAGAAUGUCUAUACCAGAGUGGCUGAGAGUCAGCAACUUGGCUGGAAGCUACACUUGAAUAGCAAACAAACCACUUUUACUUAGUUUCCAUGUCUAUUUGGUACCUUGGAGUACAGUGAUGAGUUUUACUAGAUGUGGACUUUCCAGGAAUAUAGCCAAGGUCGUCACCAUGAAAGUAUGAAACUUUAGUCAUUUACCCAAGGGGAUUCAUGGACAUAUAUUAAGAAUUUUCUUUAAUGGACUGUGUUUAUAGAACACCUGGUCAGGACGGAAAUGAGGCCAGGGAACUAAAGGGGUAGAAGUCUGAAGAGGAAUGGUUUUGCAUGGGAAAACUGUGCCAGGUCUAAAACUGGGCUGAACACUAUUUGUCCCCAACUCUCUGGCCCGGUCCUCAUAGUUCUUUCUGUGAUCCCUGCGUGGUGAAUACUCCUUUUCUGCUUUCACUGGCUUUGGCCCCUCAUGGAUAGAAUUAGAUGUUCUGCAUGGCAAACUGUGGGAAGAGAGGCCUCCAGUGUUUAGAGUGAUAUUAUCAUGUGUACCACUACUAUUAUACAUACUAAAGGUAUUCAGACAGG